GUCGAACGGUCUCUAGCAAUAGAGAUAGUGGCGCACGGGUGCGUAGCGCGUAACCAACCUACCCGAAUCUGGGGGAUAGCCCGCCGAAAGGCGGAUUAAUACCGCAUAAAACCACAGUAUGGCAUCAUAUAAUGGUUAAAGAUUUAUUGGAUUCGGAUGGGGUUGCGUGCCAUUAGCUAGUUGGGGGGGUAACGGCCCACCAAGGCGACGAUGGCUAGGGGAGCUGAGAGGCUGGUCCCCCACACGGGCACUGAGAUACGGGCCCGACUCCUACGGGAGGCAGCAGUAGGGAAUAUUGGGCAAUGGCCGAGAGGCUGACCCAGCCAUGCCGCGUGCAGGAUGAAGGCUCUCUGAGUCGUAAACUGCUUUUGCCAGGGAAGAAUAAGGGGGAUGCGUCCUCCGACGACGGUACCUGGUGAAUAAGCACCGGCUAACUCCGUGCCAGCAGCCGCGGUAAUACGGAGGGUGCAAACGUUGUCCGGAUUUAUUGGGUUUAAAGGGUGCGUAGGCGGCCGAUUAAGUCUGGGGUGAAAGCCCGUUGCUCAACAACGGAACUGCCCUGGAAACUGGUUGGCUUGAGUACAGACGAGGGUGGCGGAGUGGAUGGUGUAGCGGUGAAAUGCAUAGAUACCAUCCAGAACCCCGAUUGCGAAGGCAGCU
This 660-nucleotide ribosomal RNA is filed under the name uncultured bacterium. RNAcentral's name for it is "bacterial SSU rRNA". It matches the Rfam family "Bacterial small subunit ribosomal RNA", at positions 61 to 726 of the family's 1533-position model. The record is from RNAcentral.